Molecule: long non-coding RNA, 133 nt
Organism: Vidua chalybeata
Lineage: Eukaryota; Metazoa; Chordata; Aves; Passeriformes; Viduidae
Exons: 3
Source: RefSeq, a predicted model, not a curated record
GCUGGAUUUAAGCAUAAACAUCUUUUUGGCAUUCAGUGCACAGUAGAGUAUUGUACACAUAUCUUUCUGGAAUGAGGCAGAUAUCACCACUGUUCGAUUAAGAUCUGCCCACUUAGAUGAUCAUAAACCUGAG